This is a non-coding RNA of Cajanus cajan (pigeon pea), 685 nucleotides long. Lineage: Eukaryota; Viridiplantae; Streptophyta; Magnoliopsida; Fabales; Fabaceae. The record is from RefSeq and is a predicted model, not a curated record.
UCGAAUUUCAAGACAUGAUAGUUAAUUAACGCGACCCUUCUGUUCCCCCAUCGAUAGAAAGAUACCCUUCAUGAUGCAUGAUGAAUGAUGCCAGACUUGUGGGUAUGUGGACCAUAAUAGGACUUCCCAACCAGGAAUUUCGCCCUGAUACAGGAUUGAAAUGGGUGGUACGUGGUGGUGAGGAUGCAAAGAGGGAGCAUAUAGUUAGAAGGAAGAAGAAAAUAAGAGGCAUUGAUUCUGUGUUUUCUAGGCAAGUUUAGGCAAUGGUUUUGUGUGUGUGAAAGGAGUGGAAUGUGUAGGCAUGGUGACAAAUAAGAAAUGCUAAAAGUAGCAGUGCUAGAGCUACACUAGACCUUGGACAAAUAGUUCCAGCACCUAAACUUGGACCACCUUGAAAAUCACACAUUUAAAAGCAACCUACUUUUUUUGUUGGUGAAAAUAAAACAAAAAGGUUCAUUCUCUUUUGGGGCAGGGCGAGGCGAGGUGAGGUGUGAGUGUGAGUGUGAGGAGCAAAGGAAUCAACUUCGUUGCUGAAGCCAUGCCCUCACAAGUCACAAACAAAAAGGAUACGACAGAAUCAAAUCAAAUUCAAAUUACUGCACGAGCUAAUUUUUCAAUUUUCAACUUCACACCUACACUCCACUAUAACCAUUUCAUUCAUUAAAUAUUACUAAUGCCUUUUUCA